Molecule: RNA transcript, 1113 nt
Organism: Haliotis rubra (blacklip abalone)
Lineage: Eukaryota; Metazoa; Mollusca; Gastropoda; Lepetellida; Haliotidae
Exons: 9
Source: RefSeq, a predicted model, not a curated record
CGUCAGGUCUAUAUGUAUCGAGGAUAAAAUCAAACUGCGUUGUAUUUUGCCGAGUGCUGUUUUGUUCCUCUGGGUUUUGUUGACCACCACAAAGAAGUUUCAAACGAAAUUCUGAUGUUAUUUUGGAUUAGAUACGACAGCGUGAAGUGUUAAUAGGACGAAGAUGCACCUCGAAUGAAUGAUUAAUGGGUACCCCUGUAUAGGAAAGAACUGUACGAAGAACAGCGAAAGGCGGCCGGGUUCAAGAUAAAUUGACACUGGUGCACGACUAGAUCUAAGAUUAUCCCCUGAUCAUCUUAACGGUCUUAGAAUCUACACCGAUACAUCUUACCUUACCAAGAUGAGUGAUGUUUGUGCGCCACUUAACCUACACAUCGGCAUCGUCCUAUUAACAGCAUCCCUUGUUACAGCUCGAACAGAAAUUGACCGCCACGUGGUCCGUGAUGGAAUGAGCAAGUAUACAUUUGUCAACGGAACUCAGAGGAAUUGCUUACCUAUCUUAGAACCUGACUUCUGUGCUGAGGGUCACCAAAUAGAGCCGUGUUUCCAUGACAAGGAGAAAGAUCGGUGUGUCCCUUGCAGAGAUGGGGAAGAACAGUUGGACAAAACAUACUCCAACUUCAAACCUGCGUGCUAUAUCCACUCCUGCCCAGAGGGCACCAUCCCUGGCAAGCGGGACCCAUCUUCUGGGUGCAGCUUGCCAUGUAGAUGUAAGAGUGAGAUGAUGGCGAUGAAUGAGGACUGUAGCUGCCAUCGUGUCGAGGUCAAGUGUGGAAGCAACACCUACCUCAAAAAUGGAGUCUGCAAGCCAUGUUCGGCAGGAACCCACAAGCCCGGCAACGGCGCCGGCCCCUGUGUCACCAAGACGUCGCCAAUAUCACAUACCUCAGAGCCAGUCACAGCAACAGCAUCACCUGCAUUGUCUGCAUCUGAAAUAAACACAACGUCAGGUGUACAUUAAGGAAUCUCAUUAAGAACAUCACAGGAAAAAAGAUGACUAAUGGUGACCUUGAGGCAGAAGAGAAUCCUCCCAACCACAGAUCAUCAAACGAUCAGAACAUGUCUAUACUGUAUAUCACCAUAGCAACAUUACUUGCCAUUAUAGUUCUCGUG